CUGAAUUGUUGCCGAGGCAGGCAUAGGCCUGGGGAUUACCUGAAAUAGCAGGCAGUUGCACUGAGUGCAUCACUGACACCCCGAAAUACCUCAACUGCACCCGCUCUGGCGCACAGGCAACUUUCA
Pantoea sp. GM01 is the source of this 126-nucleotide non-coding RNA. NCBI's taxonomy places the organism in Bacteria, Pseudomonadati, Pseudomonadota, Gammaproteobacteria, Enterobacterales, Erwiniaceae. The record is from Rfam.